Hordeum vulgare subsp. vulgare (domesticated barley) is the source of this 776-nucleotide long non-coding RNA. RefSeq lists it as uncharacterized. The transcript is spliced from 2 exons. The record is from RefSeq and is a predicted model, not a curated record. NCBI's taxonomy places the organism in Eukaryota, Viridiplantae, Streptophyta, Magnoliopsida, Poales, Poaceae.
UCAAUCGAGAAAGUAACAUGCAUUGCCUGUUUCUCAACUUAUUUUGCCAAAGUUGCUAGUUCAGUUUCUAGCACUUGUCAAUUCGUUUAAAUUUAACAUGAGUUUUCCUCUCACAUGUGGCCCAUAAAGUGAAGAGUUGACAGACGAUACCUUCAGAAGCGAGACGAGAAGCGGGCAGAAUCAGGUUAGCAUAUGAAUUCAAAGUAUCUUGAUUUAGAGGUAUUGGAGGGUUGUAGGUCUUUUGUGUUGCUUAUGAAACAAGGCCCAUUUCAUUGACUGGGGCCGGGGCAUUGAUGUAAAUCUCUUCUCGGCUGGCACGGAGUUCCUUGGGGAUUGUCAUACCUCAGGGUUGAGUUGUAUCGAAAUGCAAGAAGAGAGAAGCUGGACAUAUCAAGUCGACACUUUUGGUCUGUGCGUGGUUGCACACAUGAUGCUGCACGGGAAAGAGAUGAGCAUCAGUAAGGUGCCCGCGCUGGAGGAUGAUGGCUAUGCGGACGGUGGUAAGUUUCCCUUUCCAUCGCAUCCCAACUUCAACGGACGGUGGUAAGUUUCCCUUUCCAUCGCAUCCCAACUUCAACGGACGGUGGUAAGUUUCCCUUUCCAUCGCAUCCCAACUUCGCAAGCCACCUAAUAAGCACAUACCCAGUAUAGCACGUAACACGGAAAAAAAUGCAAAAAUAAUAAUAUGAAAAUGGACGUGAACAUGGAAUGACGCCUAGACCAGCCACAGACCACAAUUCUAUUCUCCAUGAGUUUUCCAGCAAAAAAAAAAUACC